This 72-nucleotide transfer RNA is filed under the name Camelus ferus (Wild Bactrian camel). It matches the Rfam family "tRNA". From Rfam's summary of the family: Transfer RNA (tRNA) molecules are approximately 80 nucleotides in length. Their secondary structure includes four short double-helical elements and three loops (D, anti-codon, and T loops). Lineage: Eukaryota; Metazoa; Chordata; Mammalia; Artiodactyla; Camelidae. The record is from Rfam by way of RNAcentral.
GAGGAUAUAGCUCAGUGGUAGAGCACGUGCUUAGCAUGCACAAGGUCCUGGGUUCAAUCCCUGAUACUUCCA